This 377-nucleotide ribosomal RNA is filed under the name uncultured bacterium. Its description in RNAcentral is "bacterial SSU rRNA". It matches the Rfam family "Bacterial small subunit ribosomal RNA", at positions 523 to 898 of the family's 1533-position model. The record is from RNAcentral.
AUACGGAGGGUGCGAGCGUUAAUCGGAAUUACUGGGCGUAAAGCGUACGUAGGCGGCUUAUUAAGCAAGAUGUGAAAGCCCCGGGCUCAACCUGGGAAUGGCAUUUUGAACUGGUAGGCUCGAGUUCUGAAGAGGGUGGUAGAAUUUCCUGUGUAGCGGUGAAAUGCGUAGAUAUAGGAAGGAAUACCGGUGGCGAAGGCGGCCACCUGGUCAGAGACUGACGCUGAGGUACGAAAGCGUGGGGAGCAAACAGGAUUAGAUACCCUGGUAGUCCACGCCGUAAACGAUGUCAACUAGUUGUUCGUGUCAUUAACGACGUGAGUAACGCAGCUAACGCACUAAGUUGACCGCCUGGGGAGUACGGCCGCAAGGUUAAA